Molecule: ribosomal RNA, 406 nt
Filed under: uncultured bacterium
Lineage: Bacteria
Description: partial 16S ribosomal RNA
Rfam family: Bacterial small subunit ribosomal RNA
Source: RNAcentral
AUUGAACGCUGGCGGCAGGCCUAACACAUGCAAGUCGAACGAGUGGCGCACGGGUGAGUAAUGUCUGGAACACUGCCCGAUGGAGGGGGAUAACUACUGGAAACGGUAGCUAAUACCGCAUACCAUCGGAUGUUCGCAGAUGGGAUUAGCUAGUAGGUGGGGUAACGGCUCACCUAGGCGACGAUCCCUGGCUGGUCUGAGAGGAUGACCGGCCACACUGGAACUGAGACACGGUCCAGACUCCUACGGUAGGCAGCAGUGGGGAAUAUUGCGCAAUGGGCGCAAGCCUGAUGCAGCCAUGCCGCGUGUGUGAAGAAGGCCUUCGGGUUGUAAAGCACUUUCAGCGAGGAGGCGUUACUCGCAGAAGAAGCACCGGCUAACUCCGUGCCAGCAGCCGCGGUAAUAC